GGUUAAGCGACUAAGCGUACACGGUGGAUGCCCUGGCAGUCAGAGGCGAUGAAGGACGUGCUAAUCUGCGAUAAGCGUCGGUAAGGUGAUAUGAACCGUUAUAACCGGCGAUUUCCGAAUGGGGAAACCCAGUGUGUUUCGACACACUAUCAUUAACUGAAUCCAUAGGUUAAUGAGGCGAACCGGGGGAACUGAAACAUCUAAGUACCCCGAGGAAAAGAAAUCAACCGAGAUUCCCCCAGUAGCGGCGAGCGAACGGGGAGGAGCCCAGAGCCUGAAUCAGUGUGUGUGUUAGUGGAAGCGUCUGGAAAGGCGCGCGAUACAGGGUGACAGCCCCGUACACAAAAAUGCACAUGCUGUGAGCUCGAUGAGUAGGGCGGGACACGUGGUAUCCUGUCUGAAUAUGGGGGGACCAUCCUCCAAGGCUAAAUACUCCUGACUGACCGAUAGUGAACCAGUACCGUGAGGGAAAGGCGAAAAGAACCCCGGCGAGGGGAGUGAAAAAGAACCUGAAACCGUGUACGUACAAGCAGUGGGAGCACGCUUAGGCGUGUGACUGCGUACCUUUUGUAUAAUGGGUCAGCGACUUAUAUUCUGUAGCAAGGUUAACCGAAUAGGGGAGCCGAAGGGAAACCGAGUCUUAACUGGGCGUUAAGUUGCAGGGUAUAGACCCGAAACCCGGUGAUCUAGCCAUGGGCAGGUUGAAGGUUGGGUAACACUAACUGGAGGACCGAACCGACUAAUGUUGAAAAAUUAGCGGAUGACUUGUGGCUGGGGGUGAAAGGCCAAUCAAACCGGGAGAUAGCUGGUUCUCCCCGAAAGCUAUUUAGGUAGCGCCUCGUGAAUUCAUCUCCGGGGGUAGAGCACUGUUUCGGCAAGGGGGUCAUCCCGACUUACCAACCCGAUGCAAACUGCGAAUACCGGAGAAUGUUAUCACGGGAGACACACGGCGGGUGCUAACGUCCGUCGUGAAGAGGGAAACAACCCAGACCGCCAGCUAAGGUCCCAAAGUCAUGGUUAAGUGGGAAACGAUGUGGGAAGGCCCAGACAGCCAGGAUGUUGGCUUAGAAGCAGCCAUCAUUUAAAGAAAGCGUAAUAGCUCACUGGUCGAGUCGGCCUGCGCGGAAGAUGUAACGGGGCUAAACCAUGCACCGAAGCUGCGGCAGCGACGCUGAUGCGUUGUUGGGUAGGGGAGCGUUCUGUAAGCCUGUGAAGGUGUGCUGUGAGGCAUGCUGGAGGUAUCAGAAGUGCGAAUGCUGACAUAAGUAACGAUAAAGCGGGUGAAAAGCCCGCUCGCCGGAAGACCAAGGGUUCCUGUCCAACGUUAAUCGGGGCAGGGUGAGUCGACCCCUAAGGCGAGGCCGAAAGGCGUAGUCGAUGGGAAACAGGUUAAUAUUCCUGUACUUGGUGUUACUGCGAAGGGGGGACGGAGAAGGCUAUGUUGGCCGGGCGACGGUUGUCCCGGUUUAAGCGUGUAGGCUGGUUUUCCAGGCAAAUCCGGAAAACUAAGGCUGAGGCGUGAUGACGAGGCACUACGGUGCUGAAGCAACAAAUGCCCUGCUUCCAGGAAAAGCCUCUAAGCAUCAGGUAACAUCAAAUCGUACCCCAAACCGACACAGGUGGUCAGGUAGAGAAUACCAAGGCGCUUGAGAGAACUCGGGUGAAGGAACUAGGCAAAAUGGUGCCGUAACUUCGGGAGAAGGCACGCUGAUAUGUAGGUGAAGUCCCUCGCGGAUGGAGCUGAAAUCAGUCGAAGAUACCAGCUGGCUGCAACUGUUUAUUAAAAACACAGCACUGUGCAAACACGAAAGUGGACGUAUACGGUGUGACGCCUGCCCGGUGCCGGAAGGUUAAUUGAUGGGGUCAGCGCAAGCGAAGCUCUUGAUCGAAGCCCCGGUAAACGGCGGCCGUAACUAUAACGGUCCUAAGGUAGCGAAAUUCCUUGUCGGGUAAGUUCCGACCUGCACGAAUGGCGUAAUGAUGGCCAGGCUGUCUCCACCCGAGACUCAGUGAAAUUGAACUCGCUGUGAAGAUGCAGUGUACCCGCGGCAAGACGGAAAGACCCCGUGAACCUUUCAUAGCUUGACACUGAACAUUGAGCCUUGAUGUGUAGGAUAGGUGGAGGCUUUGAAGUGUGACGCAGUCUGCAUGGAGCCGACCUUGAAAUACCACCCUUUAAUGUUUGAUGUUCUAACGUUGACCCGUAAUCCGGGUUGCGGACAGUGUCUGGUGGGUAGUUUGACUGGGGCGGUCUCCUCCUAAAGAGUAACGGAGGAGCACGAAGGUUGGCUAAUCCUGGUCGGACAUCAGGAGGUUAGUGCAAUGGCAUAAGCCAGCUUGACUGCGAGCGUGACGGCGCGAGCAGGUGCGAAAGCAGGUCAUAGUGAUCCGGUGGUUCUGAAUGGAAGGGCCAUCGCUCAACGGAUAAAAGGUACUCCGGGGAUAACAGGCUGAUACCGCCCAAGAGUUCAUAUCGACGGCGGUGUUUGGCACCUCGAUGUCGGCUCAUCACAUCCUGGGGCUGAAGUAGGUCCCAAGGGUAUGGCUGUUCGCCAUUUAAAGUGGUACGCGAGCUGGGUUUAGAACGUCGUGAGACAGUUCGGUCCCUAUCUGCCGUGGGCGCUGGAGAACUGAGGGGGGCUGCUCCUAGUACGAGAGGACCGGAGUGGACGCAUCACUGGUGUUCGGGUUGUCAUGCCAAUGGCACUGCCCGGUAGCUAAAUGCGGAAGAGAUAAGUGCUGAAAGCAUCUAAGCACGAAACUUGCCCCGAGAUGAGUUCUCCCUGACUCCUUGAGAGUCCUGAAGGAACGUUGAAGACGACGACGUUGAUAGGCCGGGUGUGUAAGCGCAGCGAUGCGUUGAGCUAACCGGUACUAAUGAACCGUGAGGCUUAACCUU
RNAcentral lists this ribosomal RNA (2899 nucleotides) under Escherichia coli JB1-95. Its description in RNAcentral is "bacterial LSU rRNA". It matches the Rfam family "Bacterial large subunit ribosomal RNA". The record is from RNAcentral. Lineage: Bacteria; Pseudomonadati; Pseudomonadota; Gammaproteobacteria; Enterobacterales; Enterobacteriaceae.